CGUCAUAGCUGUUUCCUGAGAACAGAUAAGGAGCUUGCUCCUUUGAAGUUAGCGGCGGACGGGUGAGUAACACGUGGGUAACCUACCUAUAAGACUGGGAUAACUUCGGGAAACCGGAGCUAAUACCGGAUAACAUUUAGAACCGCAUGGUUCUAAAGUGAAAGAUGGUUUUGCUAUCACUUAUAGAUGGACCCGCGCCGUAUUAGCUAGUUGGUAAGGUAACGGCUUACCAAGGCGACGAUACGUAGCCGACCUGAGAGGGUGAUCGGCCACACUGGAACUGAGACACGGUCCAGACUCCUACGGGAGGCAGCAGUAGGGAAUCUUCCGCAAUGGGCGAAAGCCUGACGGAGCAACGCCGCGUGAGUGAUGAAGGGUUUCGGCUCGUAAAACUCUGUUAUUAGGGAAGAACAAAUGUGUAAGUAACUGUGCACAUCUUGACGGUACCUAAUCAGAAAGCCACGGCUAACUACGUGCCAGCAGCCGCGGUAAUACGUAGGUGGCAAGCGUUAUCCGGAAUUAUUGGGCGUAAAGCGCGCGUAGGCGGUUUCUUAAGUCUGAUGUGAAAGCCCACGGCUCAACCGUGGAGGGUCAUUGGAAACUGGGAAACUUGAGUGCAGAAGAGGAAAGUGGAAUUCCAUGUGUAGCGGUGAAAUGCGCAGAGAUAUGGAGGAACACCAGUGGCGAAGGCGACUUUCUGGUCUGUAACUGACGCUGAUGUGCGAAAGCGUGGGGAUCAAACAGGAUUAGAUACCCUGGUAGUCCACGCCGUAAACGAUGAGUGCUAAGUGUUAGGGGGUUUCCGCCCCUUAGUGCUGCAGCUAACGCAUUAAGCACUCCGCCUGGGGAGUACGACCGCAAGGUUGAAACUCAAAGGAAUUGACGGGGACCCGCACAAGCGGUGGAGCAUGUGGAUUUAAUUCGAAGCAACGCGAAGAACCUUACCAAAUCUUGACAUCCUUUGAAAACUCUAGAGAUAGAGCCUUCCCCUUCGGGGGACAAAGUGACAGGUGGUGCAUGGUUGUCGUCAGCUCGUGUCGUGAGAUGUUGGGUUAAGUCCCGCAACGAGCGCAACCCUUAAGCUUAGUUGCCAUCAUUAAGUUGGGCACUCUAGGUUGACUGCCGGUGACAAACCGGAGGAAGGUGGGGAUGACGUCAAAUCAUCAUGCCCCUUAUGAUUUGGGCUACACACGUGCUACAAUGGACAAUACAAAGGGCAGCUAAACCGCGAGGUCAUGCAAAUCCCAUAAAGUUGUUCUCAGUUCGGAUUGUAGUCUGCAACUCGACUACAUGAAGCUGGAAUCGCUAGUAAUCGUAGAUCAGCAUGCUACGGUGAAUACGUUCCCGGGUCUUGUACACACCGCCCGUCACACCACGAGAGUUUGUAACACCCGAAGCCGGUGGAGUAACCAUGUAAAAGCAGACGGCCAGUGAUCAGAGUUGAUC
This 1446-nucleotide ribosomal RNA is filed under the name Staphylococcus xylosus. RNAcentral describes it as "bacterial SSU rRNA". It matches the Rfam family "Bacterial small subunit ribosomal RNA". The record is from RNAcentral. Lineage: Bacteria; Bacillati; Bacillota; Bacilli; Caryophanales; Staphylococcaceae.